Molecule: long non-coding RNA, 1705 nt
Organism: Carlito syrichta (Philippine tarsier)
Lineage: Eukaryota; Metazoa; Chordata; Mammalia; Primates; Tarsiidae
Exons: 3
Source: RefSeq, a predicted model, not a curated record
UUUUCACGGACGCCAACAUGGCCUGGCCAGAGGAGCCAGGUCGCGUCUUCAGGUGUUUGGAUGGAGCUGCGGGUGCGGUUCUUCAUCGGGUGGCUGAGCUCGAUCAGUGUGUGAAGGAGAACCUGGCUCAUAUCGGGAGGUGUUCAGAGGACCUGGCUUCUGGUGGCUGCUGAAGCUUCUUCUCCAGAUUUGAAGGGCUGCAGUCCUCAGGAGACCCCCAGCGCUUCUAUCCACGGUGGGAUAUCAUGGCUGCUCAAGUGGGGGUUGACAUAUGCAGUUGGUUAAAAGAUCUUCCUGGCGAUUUGAUAUUGUAACACGGAUUCUUCCCAGGUAAUGAUGGUUUUAUCACUUCUAUGAUGACGUGUUUUAAGAGCCAAAAUAUCCCAUGUGUUGGUUACAGGCGUCACUUAGAAUUUUAAAAAGUACUACUUACCUAUAUGCGCUUUUUAAAAAUUCUAAUGAUACCCACUGAGGUCCUUUAUAUUAACCAGGUACUCUUAAAUAGGAUUAUGAUGAUAUUUUCAGGACAUCAAAUCCUCGGGUCUUUACUUGGUGACUGCCUUCCCCUCACCAUGCCCUGUUCCAGGCAACAACUGAUCUGCAAAGUGAUCAGUGUUGAUUUUCUACAAUGUUUUGUAAAUGGAAUCAUGCAGAUUGUAAUUUUGGUGGGUGGUGGGUAGGUGGUCUGGCUUGUUUCACUCAGCCUGUUUACUUAUUUUUAGUUUUUUGAACUAUCUUUGAUUGGAAAUGCAUAUAUAAAGCAUCAGAAACAUUACGUCAGAACACUUGGGAAACACUUCCUUGAUUAUUUAAUACACUAUCCAGUUGAAGAAGACAUCUGUUUGGGUAACAUGAAGAUUUACGUUUUUGUGUGUGCUUCAUCACAAUAUCCAUUUCAUAUGUGCUGAAGAAGAAAUUUCCCCAGAAUUAUCUUCAGAUGUACUAUUAUAAUAAAUAUUUAGCAAAUGAGUAUAACAAGUUGAAGUGGAUGAAACUCUUCACAAAAGGGAUACUGUGGACUUACCGUGUCAUCCCCGAAUUUAUAUGUUGAGACUCUAUUCCCCAGUUUGUAAUAUUAUCUGGAAGUUGGGCCUUUGGAAAGUAAUUAAGUUUAGAUGAGGUUGUGGGGGUGCAGCCCCAAUGGUGGGAUCAGUGCCUUUGUAGUAACAGAGACAAGAGAGAGAUCUCUUGCUCUCUCCCCAUCAUGAGGAGGUGGGUGAGGAUGGAGGGCUGUCUUCCAAACUGGAAGAGGCCCUUCCUCAAACAUUGAGUCUUCGAAUUCCUUAAUCUUGAACUUCCCAGGCUCCAGAACCAUGAGAAAUAAGUUUCUUUUAUAAGCCACAUAGUCUGUGUGGUAUUCUGUUAUAACAGUCUGAACUGACUAAGCCAAAGGACAGUACAUAUGUCAGUAUUUUUCCACUUGUAAAGCACUUUUGGGCUUUGAUGAUGAUAAAGACCAAAGCAUAGAAAUGGAUUGUUUCCUAGACACUUUGUUUUUAUAUCUUCUGCAUUUAACUUCAAGUAUAGGAAAGUUUGAAUGAAAUUAGUAAACACAUGAAAAUUUUUAACUUCAGGAAUGUGUUUUAUAGAUAUUUCAUGUAAUACAUAUCUUUAGAUGUAAUUUAUCGUGUGUGUGUAUGCCAAAAAAUUUGUAAACUUUUCCUAUUACUGAAGAAAUAUAAUAAAUACAGUAUUUUAUACUAAA